UUGGUUGUUCGCAGCAGCAGUUUAAAGAAAAAACUUUUAAUGUGGACUGUGACUCGAUAUUCCCUCAAGAAAUUGUUUCUAUUCUAAAAAGCUACGGAAUCGAUUCUGCAGACACACCGGCAGCCAUAAACCUGCUGACCAAACUGAAAAUAGCGACAGUCGAGGAAACAGAAGACCAAAUAACUAUAGUGUAUCAACUAAAACCGUCGGUUACAGAAAGCGUGGCGGAAGAAAAAAUAUUCGAUACCGUCGUCGGUAACAACAACAACAACAACACUUCACAGAUUUCGAUAGCUGCUAUACCGGCCGAUUCUGAUGCGAAGGUAACCGAAUCGACAAUAUUGACAUCUAAUUUAUCUAACCG
Sabethes cyaneus is the source of this 364-nucleotide long non-coding RNA. RefSeq lists it as uncharacterized. The transcript has 3 exons. The record is from RefSeq and is a predicted model, not a curated record. NCBI's taxonomy places the organism in Eukaryota, Metazoa, Arthropoda, Insecta, Diptera, Culicidae.